CCUACGGGAGGCAGCAGUGGGGAAUAUUGCACAAUGGGGGAAACCCUGAUGCAGCGACGCCGCGUGAGUGAAGAAGGAAUUCGGGAUGGAAAGCUCUAUCAGCAGGGAAGAAAAUGACGGUACCUGAGUAAGAAGCCCCGGCUAACUACGUGCCAGCAGCCGCGGUAAUACGGAGGGGGCAAGCGUUAUCCGGAUUUACUGGGUGUAAAGGGAGCGUAGACGGCAGUGCAAGUCUGGAGUGAAAGGCGGGGGCUCAACCCCCGGACUGCUCUUGAAACUGUACGGCUUGAGUGCAGGAGAGGUAAGUGGAAUUCCUAGUGUAGCGGUGAAAUGCUUAGAUAUUAGGAAGAACCCCAGUGGCGAAGGCAGCUUACUAGACUGUACCUGACGUUGAGGCUCGAAAGCGUGGGGAGCAAACAGGAUUAGAUACCCUUGUAGUC
This 440-nucleotide ribosomal RNA is filed under the name uncultured bacterium. RNAcentral's name for it is "partial 16S ribosomal RNA". It matches the Rfam family "Bacterial small subunit ribosomal RNA", at positions 338 to 795 of the family's 1533-position model. The record is from RNAcentral.